AUUGAACGCUGGCGGCAUGCUUUACACAUGCAAGUCGAACGGCAGCGCGGGCUUCGGCCUGGCGGCGAGUGGCGAACGGGUGAGUAAUACAUCGGAACGUGCCCAGUAGUGGGGGAUAGCUCGGCGAAAGCCGGAUUAAUACCGCAUACGACCUGAGGGUGAAAGCGGGGGAUCUUCGGACCUCGCGCUAUUGGAGCGGCCGAUGGCAGAUUAGCUAGUUGGUGGGGUAAAGGCCUACCAAGGCGACGAUCUGUAGCUGGUCUGAGAGGACGACCAGCUACACUGGGACUGAGACACGGCCCAGACUCCUACGGGAGGCAGCAGUGGGGAAUUUUGGACAAUGGGCGAAAGCCUGAUCCAGCAAUGCCGCGUGUGUGAUGAAGGCCUUCGGGUUGUAAAGCACUUUUGGCGGGAACGAAAAGGACUGUGCCAAUACCACGGUUCGAUGGCGGUACCCGCAGAAUAAGCACCGGCUAACUACGUG
Molecule: ribosomal RNA, 484 nt
Filed under: uncultured bacterium
Lineage: Bacteria
Description: partial 16S ribosomal RNA
Rfam family: Bacterial small subunit ribosomal RNA
Source: RNAcentral